RNAcentral lists this unclassified non-coding RNA (334 nucleotides) under soil metagenome. RNAcentral's name for it is "partial contains 5.8S ribosomal RNA, internal transcribed spacer 2, and large subunit ribosomal RNA". The stretch from base 1 to 120 matches the Rfam family "5.8S ribosomal RNA", at positions 35 to 154 of the family's 154-position model. The record is from RNAcentral.
GAUGAAGAACGUAGCGAAAUGCGAUAAGUAGUGUGAAUUGCAGAAUUCAGUGAAUCAUCGAAUCUUUGAACGCACAUUGCGCCCCGUGGUAUUCCGCGGGGCAUGCCUGUUCGAGCGUCAUUACACCACUCAAGCCUCGCUUGGUAUUGGGCGACGCGGUACGCCGCGCGCCUCAAAUCUUCCGGCUGGUUCGAAUCGUCCCUCAGCGUUGUGGAAACUAUUCGCUAAAGGUGCGCGUUUCGGUCACGCCGUUAAACAAGCCAAUUUCAUUAAAGGUUGACCUCGGAUCAGGUAGGGAUACCCGCUGAACUUAAGCAUAUCAAUAAGCGGAGGA